RNAcentral lists this ribosomal RNA (513 nucleotides) under uncultured bacterium. RNAcentral describes it as "bacterial SSU rRNA". It matches the Rfam family "Bacterial small subunit ribosomal RNA", at positions 15 to 518 of the family's 1533-position model. The record is from RNAcentral.
GAUCCUGGCUUAGGAUGAACGCUAGCUACAGGCUUAACACAUGCAAGUCGAGGGGCAGCAUGAUCUAGCUUGCUAGAAUGAUGGCGACCGGCGCACGGGUGAGUAACGCGUAUCCAACCUUCCCUAUAGUAGAGGAUAGCCCGGCGAAAGUCGGAUUAAUACUCUAUGUUGUUCAAUGCGGACAUCUAAGUUGAACCAAAGGUUUACCGCUAUAGGAUGGGGAUGCGUCUGAUUAGAUGGUAGGCGGGGUAACGGCCCACCUAGUCGACGAUCAGUAGGGGUUCUGAGAGGAAGGUCCCCCACAUUGGAACUGAGACACGGUCCAAACUCCUACGGGAGGCAGCAGUGAGGAAUAUUGGUCAAUGGGCGAGAGCCUGAACCAGCCAAGUAGCGUGCAGGAAUGACGGCCCUAUGGGUUGUAAACUGCUUUUAUAUAGGGAUAAAGUGCACUACGUGUAGUGUUUUGUAGGUACUAUAUGAAUAAGGACCGGCUAAUUCCGUGCCAGCAGCUGC